Molecule: small nucleolar RNA, 146 nt
Organism: Phragmites australis (common reed)
Lineage: Eukaryota; Viridiplantae; Streptophyta; Magnoliopsida; Poales; Poaceae
Product: small nucleolar RNA snoR74
Exons: 1
Source: RefSeq, a predicted model, not a curated record
AAAAAAGCAGGAUGCUGUGCUCUCUACAAGCAGUAUCUCCGUAAACUUAAGGAACAAUCAUAUUCAUCAUUAUUGGGUGAACCAUUGGCCAUGUCCAUGUGUUGGACAAUUACAUGUCUAUCGGUUCAGUAAAUGAUGUCACAUUU